This 1488-nucleotide ribosomal RNA is filed under the name uncultured Microbacteriaceae bacterium. RNAcentral's name for it is "bacterial SSU rRNA". It matches the Rfam family "Bacterial small subunit ribosomal RNA". Lineage: Bacteria; Bacillati; Actinomycetota; Actinomycetes; Micrococcales; Microbacteriaceae. The record is from RNAcentral.
AGAGUUUGAUCGUGGCUCAGGACGAACGCUGGCGGCGUGCUUAACACAUGCAAGUCGAACGAUGACACCAGGAGCUUGCUCUUGGUCGAUUAGUGGCGAACGGGUGAGUAACACGUGAGCAAUCUGCCCUUCACUCUGGGAUAACAGUUGGAAACAAUUGCUAAUACUGGAUAUGACCUCGGAAGGCAUCUUCUAAGGUGGAAAGAAUUUCGGUGAAGGAUGAGCUCGCGGCCUAUCAGCUUGUUGGUGGGGUAAUGGCCUACCAAGGCGACGACGGGUAGCCGGCCUGAGAGGGUGACCGGCCACACUGGGACUGAGACACGGCCCAGACUCCUACGGGAGGCAGCAGUGGGGAAUAUUGCACAAUGGGCGAAAGCCUGAUGCAGCAACGCCGCGUGGGGGAUGAAGGCCUUCGGGUUGUAAACCUCUUUUAGUAGGGAAGAAGCGAAAGUGACGGUACCUACAGAAAAAGCACCGGCUAACUACGUGCCAGCAGCCGCGGUAAUACGUAGGGUGCAAGCGUUGUCCGGAAUUAUUGGGCGUAAAGAGCUCGUAGGCGGUCUGUCGCGUCUGCUGUGAAAACCCGAGGCUCAACCUCGGGCCUGCAGUGGGUACGGGCAGACUAGAGUGCGGUAGGGGAGACUGGAAUUCCUGGUGUAGCGGUGAAAUGCGCAGAUAUCAGGAGGAACACCAAUGGCGAAGGCAGGUCUCUGGGCCGUCACUGACGCUGAGGAGCGAAAGCGUGGGGAGCAAACAGGAUUAGAGACCCUGGUAGUCCACGCCGUAAACGGUGGGCGCUAGUUGUGGGAACCAUUCCACGGUUUCCGUGACGUAGCUAACGCAUUAAGCGCCCCGCCUGGGGAGUACGGCCGCAAGGCUAAAACUCAAAGGAAUUGACGGGGGCCCGCACAAGCAGCGGAGCAUGCGGAUUAAUUCGAUGCAACGCGAAGAACCUUACCAAGGCUUGACAUAUAGAGGAAAGAUCUGGAAACAGUUCCCCCGCAAGGUCUCUAUACAGGUGGUGCAUGGUUGUCGUCAGCUCGUGUCGUGAGAUGUUCGGUUAAGUCCGGCAACGAGCGCAACCCUCGUCCUAUGUUGCCAGCACGUAAUGGUGGGAACUCAUGGGAUACUGCCGUGGUCAACACGGAGGAAGGUGGGGAUGACGUCAAAUCAUCAUGCCCCUUAUGUCUUGGGCUUCACGCAUGCUACAAUGGCCGGUACAAAGGGCUGCGAAACCGCAAGGUUGAGCGAAUCCCAAAAAGCCGGUCUCAGUUCGGAUUGGGGUCUGCAACUCGACCCCAUGAAGUCGGAGUUGCUAGUAAUCGUAGAUCAGCAACGCUACGGUGAAUACGUUCCCGGGCCUUGUACACACCGCCCGUCAAGUCAUGAAAGUCGGUAACACCCGAAGCCGGUGGCCUAACCUUUUUGGAGGGAGCCGUCGAAGGUGGGAUCGGUGAUUGGGACUAAGUCGUAACAAGGUAGCCGUAG